AACAAGGAUUCCCCUAGUAACUGCGAGUGAAGCGGGAAGAGCUCAAAUUUCGAAUCUGGCGGUCUCUGGCCGUCCGAGUUGUAAUCUAGAGAAGCGUUUUCCGCGCUGGACCGUGUAUAAGUCUCCUGGAAGGGAGCGUCGUAGAGGGUGAGAAUCCCGUCUUUGACACGGACUACCAGUGCUAUGUGAUGCGCUCUCGACGAGUCGAGUUGUUUGGGAAUGCAGCUCAAAUCGGGUGGUAAAUUCCAUCUAAAGCUAAAUAUAGGCGAGAGACCGAUAGCGAACAAGUACCGUGAGGGAAAGAUGAAAAGAACUUUGGAAAGAGAGUUAAACAGUACGUGAAAUUGCUGAAAGGGAAACGCUUGAGGUCAGUCGCGUCGGCCGGGGAUCAACCUUGCUUCUCGCUGGGUGUAUUUCCUGGUCGACGGGUCAGCAUCAGUUUCGAUCGCCGUACAAGGGCGGAGGGAACGUGGCACUCUUCGGAGUGUGUUAUAGCCUUUCGUCGUAUGCGGUGGCUGGGACUGAGGAACUCAGCACGACCCCCUCGAGGGUUUCGGGGCUUCGGCCUACGUACGUGCUUAGGAUGCUGGCAUAAUGGCCUUAAGCGACCCGUCUUGAAACACGGACCAAGGAGUCUAACAUGCCUGCGAGUGGUUUGGGUGGAAAACUCGAACGCGUAACGAAAGUGAAAGUCGAGACCUCUGUCGUGGANGGCAUCGACGCCCGGACCCUGAGUCUUUGACGACGGAUCUGCGGUAGAGCAUGAUGUUGGGACCCGAAAGAUGGUGAACUAUGCCUGAAUAGGGUGAAGCCAGAGGAAACUCUGGUGGAGGCUCGUAGCGAUUCUGACGUGCAAAUCGAUCGUCGAAUUUGGG
This 875-nucleotide ribosomal RNA is filed under the name Gyrodon monticola. RNAcentral describes it as "eukaryotic LSU rRNA". It matches the Rfam family "Eukaryotic large subunit ribosomal RNA", at positions 67 to 915 of the family's 3401-position model. Lineage: Eukaryota; Fungi; Basidiomycota; Agaricomycetes; Boletales; Gyrodontaceae. The record is from RNAcentral.